Molecule: ribosomal RNA, 406 nt
Filed under: uncultured bacterium
Lineage: Bacteria
Description: partial 16S ribosomal RNA
Rfam family: Bacterial small subunit ribosomal RNA
Source: RNAcentral
AUUGAACGCUGGCGGCAGGCCUAACACAUGCAAGUCGAACGAGUGGCGGACGGGUGAGUAAUGUCUGGGAACCUGCCUGAUGGAGGGGGAUAACUACUGGACACGGUAGCUAAUACCGCAUACCAUCAGAUGUGCCCAGAUGGGAUUAGCUAGUUGGUGGGGUAACGGCUCACCAAGGCGACGAUCCCUAGCUGGUCUGAGAGGAUGACCAGACACAUGGGAACUUGGACACGGUCCAGACUCCUACGGGAGGCAGCAGUGGGGAAUAUUGGGCAAUGGGCGCAAGCCUGAUGCAGCCAUGCCGCGUGUAUGAAGAAGGCCUUCGGGUUGUAAAGUACUUUCAGCGGUGAGGCGUUACCCGCAGAAGAAGCACCGGCUAACUCCGUGCCAGCAGCCGCGGUAAUUC